AAUAGACCGAAAUAGCCAUUUGAUCCGGUCAUAUUGCCACAAUGGCCUUUGACCAUUAAAAAAAAAAAAGUUUGAAACUUAGAAUAGAAAUUUUCGUUGUCAAAAUUGACCUCAUCUUCGACAAAGAUAGGAGAGGAGAGGAAAAAAGAAAAAAAUUCGCACAAUCUUUACAAUCGGGAUCCUGUCGAAAUUGCCAUCCUCAUAGUCUACAGAACGCCGACCACCAAAAAACUCAAUAAUUAUUUUUAACAAGUAAUUCUGUUUGUUUGAAGCCAAAAUCAUAUGUUAAGUUUUAACUCCAUUUAUUCUCGAAGAGAGAGGAGCAUUGAUUAUUAAGGCAUCUGAUGUUAGGAUCCACUGAUCCAGAAUCUCCUGCCCCUUCCUCGAAAUUAAUGAGGAAAAUGUGCCCAGUGAGAGCCUUCCUCUUGAAUCCAAGUUACAGCUGAAGCUCGAGCAGACUGCGGAUGUAGGCGGCAGAUAAGAUUAGGCUAAGGAGAAAGAGGCUUGUUAGGAACCUUGUGUUAUAAGCAUCUCAACAGUUUCAAAUUCGAGUUCUGCAUAAAUACAUAUACAUUAACAAUAAAGCUUCUUGUACAGCCCUCUCACAAUGUCAGGAGACCCACAUGAAUUUUAUAAUUGUGGACCGCCCUCAGUAUGAGAGAGGUGUAAGGGUGUACGGUAAGCACUACUGAUACAUUAAUGCCGAAAUCACAAAUGGACUAGUUGCAGAAAAUUCUGUCAAUCUCAAUAACACAGAGCAUGUUGCAGAGAGGCCCGACCUGUCAUGCCACAUUUCUUUGUGGACCAUUUUCCCAAGGUGUGGGAGAGGUAAAACAAGCCAAAAAUAUUAUUUUAUACAUCAGGGUUUUGUUUCAGGCAUAUAAGUGAGCCAUAAAUUUCAAUUAUCUGCAAAUAUCAUAAUUAACAGUGAAGUGCAAUACAACAUUCAUGGGGAAAGCAAAAUAUUAAUACAAGAGUCCUUGAUGAAACUGUGCGUAGAAUUUGCAUUCCUACUGUACACUUAUAGUCGGCAGAAUCCAAGAAAACGAGCUCACCAGCAUGUCUCAAUCAUCUCCUUUUUCUGCUAAAUAAUUCGACAAGGUGGGCCCCUAUGGUUGCGAGCUAGAGCUGCCAUAGCUUGUGGCUAGAUCAAAGUGAGAGCCCCAACAGAGGCUACGUUCAUACUGAAGUCUUACACUUGAGAAUGUUUAGUUUGCAGAGAGAGCAUGUUGCACUAAUUUGCAGCCACUUGCUAAUGCAUUUAUGGUGAGAAUGUUGUUUGCAUUGAUAUAUAGAGUAGAGUCAAGGAAGUUUACAGAUAUUUCAUUUCACGAUUCCAGCAAAAUCAGAGAAUUAAAAUUAUUGAAAAUCAUACUAGAAAUCCACGAUAUUUUUGCUCAUUUUA
Molecule: long non-coding RNA, 1405 nt
Organism: Olea europaea var. sylvestris
Lineage: Eukaryota; Viridiplantae; Streptophyta; Magnoliopsida; Lamiales; Oleaceae
Exons: 2
Source: RefSeq, a predicted model, not a curated record